Molecule: ribosomal RNA, 438 nt
Filed under: Pseudomonas sp. I-18
Lineage: Bacteria; Pseudomonadati; Pseudomonadota; Gammaproteobacteria; Pseudomonadales; Pseudomonadaceae
Description: bacterial SSU rRNA
Rfam family: Bacterial small subunit ribosomal RNA
Source: RNAcentral
AAUGNNCUGGCGGCAGGCUACACAUGCAAGUCGAGCGGUAGAGAGAAGCUUGCUUCUCUUGAGAGCGGCGGACGGGUGAGUAAUGCCUAGGAAUCUGCCUGGUAGUGGGGGAUAACGUUCGGAAACGAACGCUAAUACCGCAUACGUCCUACGGGAGAAAGCAGGGGACCUUCGGGCCUUGCGCUAUCAGAUGAGCCUAGGUCGGAUUAGCUAGUUGGUGAGGUAAUGGCUCACCAAGGCGACGAUCCGUAACUGGUCUGAGAGGAUGAUCAGUCACACUGGAACUGAGACACGGUCCAGACUCCUACGGGAGGCAGCAGUGGGGAAUAUUGGACAAUGGGCGAAAGCCUGAUCCAGCCAUGCCGCGUGUGUGAAGAAGGUCUUCGGAUUGUACAGCACUCUUCAANUUUGNGAGAGAAGGGCAGAUACCUAAUACGU